GGGAAGGAACAAAGUUUAAAGUGAACACAUUUAUGCCAGUGAGUAAAACCUCAUUCUUACAUGAUCACAGCACUUUGUGUUUUAAACAUGCUUCCAACCAUACAAAAAUUCAUCAUGACUGUGAUGACUGAUUGGCUGGGAGGUGUCAAGGAUUCUGAGUCUUGUUCAAUAAAGCUGAUGAUAUAUCUGCAGUGAAAACUGUAAAGGUGUACAGAUGAAUGAGCAGUUCUUACAACCAGGAUAAUCUGAGUGUUUUGUUUUCUACUAUAUUAACCUAAAUUCUCACUAUCCCAGAAAAGCUACUGAAUAUACUUUAUCUACUCAAUAAUAUCUGUGAGAGAAACUUAACUAGCAAUAUUCUACCAGAAAAUCUAGCAAUUGUUUUAAACUCAAACCGAGGUAUAACUAUGCUAAACCCAGAAAUCAAGAGGCAUGUUUAAUACAUCAAUCGCAUAGUACAUAUAACAGGUACAGUACAGAUGUACUGUACAGAUGCUUCAUAAUGAAAUUCCAGGACUUUCAAGGACUUUGAGCACUUUUUUUCUUUCAAGGACUAUACAAGAGAUGUCAUUCAAACAUAUCCUUCAUUUCCAAAAAAAUAUUAAUAACAAUAAUAAUAAUAAUAAUAAUAAUAAUAAUAAUAAUAAUAAUAAAUAUAUAUAUUUUUUUAAACAACCAUUUUAAUAUAGCCCCUUUUCCCAGCCGUGAUGGACUAAAUUUGUAUUUCCCAGUCAUUGCUUCAUUUUCACCAUAAUUUCACCAUUGCAUCGUAUUUUCACUCUGCCUAGAGUCAGCCCUUUAUAAUACAUCCUACUCUCUGUGCUCACAUGCUGAAUUUUAAUACAGCCGAAUUCCCAAUAAAGCUGUUCUCAUUUACAUAUUUUUUCUGUUUCUGAAAGCAGGACCUCGCACUCACCAGGCAGUACUGGCCAUUCUCUUCUACGGAAAGUAGCUAAGAUAUAUUUCUGCCACCUGUAAGUCAGAAUGACAAAAUUCUUGACAGUGAUAUCACUCAGUCCAACGGAUCUGACGCACUGAAGGCUGGACAUUGGCAGAUAUCAUCUAUGAUGAAAAAGCCUCCCUUGCGAGACGAGAAUCUUCACCAUCUGAAUCAUGAGUAAGUUAUAUUUUCCUGUAUAUCUAGUUUAUAUUUUAUUUUCAGAUUUACUCUAUAUCUCUUAUUA
Molecule: long non-coding RNA, 1184 nt
Organism: Ictalurus punctatus (channel catfish)
Lineage: Eukaryota; Metazoa; Chordata; Actinopteri; Siluriformes; Ictaluridae
Exons: 4
Source: RefSeq, a predicted model, not a curated record